UAAACCCCGUUAUAUUUUACCUUAGUAUGAGAGGCGCGGAGGGUAUCUCCUAAGGUAUAUUUAGAGUUCACUUCACGCCGAAUCACCACAUGAGGGUGAAACUCAGUCAACGUCAAGGAACGGCUACGUUUUUAAAUGUAAAAACAUGUUUUAUGUAUAUAUCGUUGUAACAGCCUUGGCGGACUCGGUUGGAAGCCCGGGCCAAGGUGUCUCCAAGUACGAGUUUUGGCAAGAGCCAAGUUUUAAGAGAGUCAUAAGCCUUACUAAUUAAUUUUGAUGAAAUGUAAUUGUUUUAUAUGAAUUGAAAUGAGUUUUGAAUGUUAUGAAUUAUAUUAUGAUGGGAUAAUUUAACUGUCUCCAUUUACUCAGCUUUAGAUGUUAUAGAUGAACUUUUGCUUACUCACUGGGUUUAUAAAAACUCACCCCUUCUUUUCACCCAUUUCAAGCUCAGGAGAGUCUGUAGACAGCCUAUUUUGUCGAGGAUUGCUUUUGGAUCUG
Molecule: long non-coding RNA, 498 nt
Filed under: Theobroma cacao (cacao)
Lineage: Eukaryota; Viridiplantae; Streptophyta; Magnoliopsida; Malvales; Malvaceae
Description: long non-coding RNA (TCAC_LNC006200)
Source: RNAcentral